AUAGAACCCUUGCUGCGGUUAAAAAGCUCGUAGUUGGAUUUGUGCCGGUGCCGUGGUCCACCCUAGCGGGCGGUACUGCGUGCACCGGCUUUGGGCCGGUCUCCGGGCGUCGUCCUUCACUGGGCGUCGUCCGUGGCUGGCUGGUUUACUUUGAGCAAAUCAGAGUGCUCAGCACAGGCGUCUCGCCGGAAUGUUCGUGCAUGGAAUAAUAGAACAGGAUCACGGUCCUCUUUUAUUGGUUUUGUGGACUGAGAUAAUGGUUAACAGAGACGAACGGGGGCAUUCGUAUUGCUGCGUGAGAGGUGAAAUUCUUGGACCGCAGCAGGACGGACUACAG
Molecule: ribosomal RNA, 337 nt
Filed under: Hemicycliophora conida
Lineage: Eukaryota; Metazoa; Nematoda; Chromadorea; Rhabditida; Hemicycliophoridae
Description: SSU rRNA
Rfam family: Eukaryotic small subunit ribosomal RNA
Source: RNAcentral